Phyllopteryx taeniolatus (common seadragon) is the source of this 3882-nucleotide long non-coding RNA. RefSeq lists it as uncharacterized. The record is from RefSeq and is a predicted model, not a curated record. NCBI's taxonomy places the organism in Eukaryota, Metazoa, Chordata, Actinopteri, Syngnathiformes, Syngnathidae. The transcript is spliced from 3 exons.
AUAUAUUUUAUUGUCUGUGUAGAUUCUCAGUCGUACAGGUCAUGCACAAAAUGAACCACGCAUCAGUUGCACACAAAAUCACUGUGUUAAAAGAACAAAACCAACAAAACAUGAAUUUCACACAAAAAUAAAAUAAAAAAUUCAAUUCAAUGAAAAUUUACUGUAAGUGAAUGUGAAUUUUGCUGUUGCCAUUCCCCUUGGUAAGUGCCACUCGCAUAUCAGAGGACUGGACUAUGUUGUUAAAAUUAUGUUCCUUUUCUUUAUGUUAUUUCUAUAAUCCUCGAAAAGGGUUCAUUGGUAAGAGUAAGAUUUUUGGGCUGUUUUUUUUUAUUAUUGGAUGCGCUGUCUGACGGUACAGCAAUGCUACUCAAGUCCACUGUAUCGUUGAAAUGUUCUUCAAUAAAGAUAGUUUAAAAAAGAACAAAGCAUUUCCACGUUUGGAACGGCAUGAACAACGCAUUCAAAAUGCAGUUUAAAAAUGCUUUUACGGAUAAAGCACGCACGUACACGCGGUGUGUGUUGAGUCCUCAGCGACUGCCUCACCGAAGCCGGUUUAAGAACCACUGCUCUACAGUGACAGCUUAGAAAAGAUACAUGCAUGUGUUGAACUAUUGUGAGACUAUUACAAAAUUAUUUGACCUGUUCACCUUUGAAUCACCAGCAGGAACACUAAUCUACGGAGCCCCAGACAUGACAUGUUAAAAAAAAAUACUAAUAAUAAUACUUCGUGCGCACAAACUACUUCCUUGUGCGCACGCUGUAACUACGCGCACUUUUACGGACUUGUUACAAACGACGCAGCCGAAACUGCAAGACACAUGCGAUUGCUUAAGGAUGUAAGAUAGGAUGAGAGUCACACAGGCCUUGUGUAUCCACCCCAUCUUUGGAUGAGACAUCAGCAAAUCUUCAGGGUACCACUGAAUGGCAGAGAGCAAAAACAACUAGAAAAAAAACAACAAAUGCAACUUAAGUGGGACGGCAGUACAGGACACGUGUCCGUCCUGGCUCCUCACUGCAACAUGGCCGUCAUAAUAGUAAGAGAGCAAUGGAAUCUACACAGCAAAGUGAGCUGCUUUUAGUUUUUAUGUGGAACAACUCACCCCAAGCAGUCAGCUCCCACUUUAAGAUUGAAUUUAAAGUUUCUAUAACACUUUUCUAGUCAGGCUGUACAGGCACAGUUAAUUAAGGAUCUUUGAUGGCAACAGUUUGACCCUAGAAUGGAUUGUUACAAUCUAUUUGCAAUAGAUUGUUUUCCAAAUUACACAUUCAACUGGAGUAACAAAGAAAAAGGCAUCCCUGACUGAUGGCUGAGAAGAUCAUGACCUUUAAUUAGCAAAGUCGCUGCCAAAUUGACAUGUACUGUGGGGGAGUUGCUUGUUUUGUUUAUGAAAACGAUUGUACUAUUUGGUAUUCAAAAUCAAGUGUUAUGGACAAUUUUAACAUUUAAUUUUGGAUUUGAGUCACUGAUGUUGUAGUGGUGCACUCGCCUGACUUUGGUGUGGGCAGCAUGGGUUCAGUUCCCACUCAGUGAUGGUGUGAAUGUGAGUGCAAAUGGUUAUCCCUGUCUAUAUGUUUCCUGCGACUGACUGCCGACCAGUUCAGGGUGUAGUCCGCCUUUCGCCCGAAGUCAGCUGGGAUAGGCUCCAGCACCCUGUGACCCUAACCAGGAUAAGCAGUGUUGACAAUGGAUGGAUGGAUGCAGUUUGGAUUGGAUUUUUUUGUGCAAUUCACACUUGUGCAUAUAUGACAAAAUAUAGCGGUGGUUAUAGUAGCUUCCGCCAUUCUGAGAAAGCGUUUGGCAACUUUUGAAAGCACAUUACUUGUCCAUUUUUUCAUUAAUCCAAAGUUGGAUGCAUACUGUCCAAAAUGUCUGCAGAAGAUGGUCUAAUUGACUUAUUAUUAUUAUUUUUUUUUCUAAUCUUCAGUCUGAAAAAAAAUGUUUCAAGAGCUUUGAUGAGUUAUCUACAAUACUUCGUGUGAGGUUUUACACUGCUUCACUUGGUGUUGUAAAUCUAAAAACGUGAGCCGUACUGUCUGGCUUGGGGCGGCCCACAUGUGAAGAAAAAAACACAACCAAGGAGGACUGAGGGAAGAGGUUUGGAUUACGCACUGAGACAUGAAUGGAGACACAGAUGUGAUAAGUCACUGUGAAUAACAAUCUAAUUAAAUAAUGGCUAAUAAAGUAAAUUAAAACUGAAUGUGGAAUGUACUGAAGAAAGUGCAAACGUUUGGCUAACUAAAUGUUGCAUGCAUGCAUUCUGUUUCUGUUACUAACUUGUUUCCCAGUCCACUACUGUCGACGCUCCUAACCCCCAAGAUGCAGCCAACUGCAGUGAUAACAGUAAUUAUUUUUAUUAUGAAAAGUACUAGUAAUAUUAGCAGGAGUACUGAGGAUGUUAGCGACAUAACAUAGAAUUGAAUUUGUACUAUAUAUAUAUAUAAUCUAAAUGUGUUGUAUGAAUGAUGGGUUGUAUGUACCAACAGACAGAUAACCUUGGUCAUUAAGUGACUUUCAAACUUAGAAGUCAUCCCAAAGUGAAAUAAAUGAGAGCGGCUCUUUCAAAAGGAGAGGAGUCGAGCCACCAAAGAGCAUGUGGACAAGCCCUAGGUCCAUUGCUCCAGUGUGGGUGACUUAACCAUAAGCAUCUUCAGAUCUUACUGUUUAACACGUUGAUGCCCAGGGACUGUGACUUUGGAGCCAGCCAGCUGGGGAGGAGCCUAGUGAUCACUCACUCCACAGAUGGAAGUGAUAGCUUCUGAGCAUGUCUGUUAAUUAUAGUGCCAUCCUCUUUUGAAAACUGCAAACAAAAAUUUGAACCAUUUUUGACAGCUAUAAAAACACCCUAAAUGUGAUUCUUUUACCUAGAAAUGUGAUGACUUAUCCUACAUAGACCAAUGGUGUUGUCAAUGUACAGUUGACCCAUGGCAACUAAAAUGGAUUUUAGAUUUACCAGUGUCUUAAUUCAAAGAAAAUGGGAGUAAUGUUGGAAAUCUUAAAACUGGACAUGCCAUUGAUGCCUGUGUUUUUUAUGGGACAUUGAUAACAGUGAUCAAGAAGGAGCUUGAAACAAUCCCGACAACUGUCUACGUUUCUAUGACAUUUACAUAGGUUACCACAGAAACAUGCUCCUAUUGGUCUUAAAAAGUCAUGGCGGAAUCUCGAAACAUCCAUCCAUCCAUUUUCUGUACCGCUUAUCCUCAGUGAAGAGUAAAACAGAAUUUGAAUGGCUGUUAUUUUUUCCAUGGCUUAGGUAAAAUGGGACAUUGAAAUGUUUUGAUAGAUGUUUUUAUUCAAAAAAGGAAUGUAAAACAUAAAAUGCACUUCCCCUUUUCUUUAAAACAUUAAGGAUUAGUUUUAUGGCAGACAGGCUGUUGAUACACUUUGACAAGAUCUGUAGUUUACAAUUUAGGAGCGUGAUGCAAUAAACUGUAAAGUGUGCAUGUAUACUUGCACACAUGCAUACACACACGCGUAUUUCUGCUUGUGUAUUGGCUUUUGUUUUGGUGUUCAGAGAAGAACCACCUUAAUUUUCAUUCAGCAACUAUUAUCACACUAGUGUGAAGAUAGCGCCAUCCUGUGGAAAACUAAUUUAACACAAGACAGUGUAAGGCACUUGAGUCCACUACUGUACUGUGCAGUAGAGUACUCUAUUCUGUUAACCUGGCCGCCACCUUCUCGGUGCAGACAUUUAGGGUUACCAAAAAAAAAUAAUAAUAAAUAAAUCUAAAAACCAGAACACAGCAGUGCAGGGACAUCAGCAGCUAUAUGGUUAAAACAUUGUCAAAAGUCUGUUAUAAACUUUUGAGUAAAUCUCAAUUUCUCCAUACAUAUAAAUAAAUGUAGAGUAUAAUACUGGCGUUCUUAAAAUAUUGGGAUAACUG